This 497-nucleotide ribosomal RNA is filed under the name uncultured bacterium. RNAcentral's name for it is "partial 16S ribosomal RNA". It matches the Rfam family "Bacterial small subunit ribosomal RNA", at positions 28 to 507 of the family's 1533-position model. The record is from RNAcentral.
GACGAACGCUGGCGGCGUACCUAAUACAUGCAAGUUGAGCGCUGAAGGUUGGUACUUGUACCAACUGGAUGAGCAGCGAACGGGUGAGUAACGCGUGGGGAAUCUGCCUUUGAGCGGGGGACAACAUUUGGAAACGAAUGCUAAUACCGCAUAAAAACUUUAAACACAAGUUUUAAGUUUGAAAGAUGCAAUUGCAUCACUCAAAGAUGAUCCCGCGUUGUAUUAGCUAGUUGGUGAGGUAAAGGCUCACCAAGGCGAUGAUACAUAGCCGACCUGAGAGGGUGAUCGGCCACAUUGGGACUGAGACACGGCCCAAACUCCUACGGGAGGCAGCAGUAGGGAAUCUUCGGCAAUAGACGAAAGUCUGACCGAGCAACGCCGCGUGAGUGAAGAAGGUUUUCGGAUCGUAAAACUCUGUUGGUAGAGAAGAACGUUGGUGAGAGUGGAAAGCUCAUCAAGUGACGGUAACUACCCAGAAAGGGACGGCUAACUACGUG